GAUGAACGCUGGCGGCGUGCCUAAUACAUGCAAGUCGAGCGAACAGACGAGGAGCUUUCUCCUCUGACGUUAGCGGCGGACGGGUGAGUAACACGUGGAUAACCUACCUAUAAGACUGGGAUAACUUCGGGAAACCGGAGCUAAUACCGGAUAAUAUAUUGAACCGCAUGGUUCAAUAGUGAAAGACGGUUUUGCUGUCACUUAUAGAUUGAUCCGCGCCGCAUUAGCUAGUGGGUAAGGUAACGGCUUACCAAGGCAACGAUGCGUAGCCGACCCGAGAGGGUGAACGCCCACCCUGGAAGUGAGACACGGCCCACACACCGAGGGUAGGACGCAGUCGGGAAUCCUCCGCAAUGGGCGAAAGCCUAACGGAGCAACGCGGCGUGAGUGAUGAAGGUCCUCGGACCGUAAAACUCUGUUAUUAGGGAAGAACAAAAGUUUAAGUAACUAGGCACGUCUUGACGGUACCGAAUCAGAAAGCCCCGGCUAACUACGUG
RNAcentral lists this ribosomal RNA (497 nucleotides) under uncultured bacterium. RNAcentral describes it as "partial 16S ribosomal RNA". It matches the Rfam family "Bacterial small subunit ribosomal RNA", at positions 28 to 507 of the family's 1533-position model. The record is from RNAcentral.